RNAcentral lists this ribosomal RNA (1659 nucleotides) under Triticum aestivum (bread wheat). RNAcentral describes it as "partial small subunit ribosomal RNA". The record is from RNAcentral. Lineage: Eukaryota; Viridiplantae; Streptophyta; Magnoliopsida; Poales; Poaceae.
AUGCCUCUCUUCACUGCAACCUCGUCCUGCUUGCUAAAUGGAUCACAGGGGCUGAGCUUUUUCCACGCUCGUGGACUCAGGCAAGAUGAUCCCCUCUCGCCACUGCUGUUCAUCCUAGCAAUCGACCCCCUGUUCCAUUUGCUGGACACGGCCACAAACUGUGGUCUGAUCGCGCCGCUGCCAGGACGCGACGCAAUCAUGCGCGUGAGCCUGUACGCCGAUGAUGCAGUGAUCUUUAAUCCAGUAAAGGAGGAGGUGGGCAUAUUGCUAGAGCUGCUAAACUCCUUCGGUGAGGCGACGGGAUUGAAGCUAAACCAAACAAAAUCCUCUGUCAUUUUGAUGAACUGUAAUGCCCAGCUUUUGGCAGAGGUUUCGCACAGCUUUGGUGGCUCGAUCACCAGCUUCCCCACAACCUACUUCGGGCUGUCAAUCUCUCCUACAAGACUACGUCUAGUGCACUUUCAAUUCCUCAUCGAUCGAGUCAAAUCAUGCCUCGCGGGAUGGAAGGGCAAGCUGAUGACUUUGGCGGGCCGACGCGCUUUGUUGCGAGCGGUGCUCUUUGCCCUGCCAACUUUCGCACUGACAGUGCUCAAGGUGCCGAAGAGGGUACUGAAGGAAAUCGACAAGGCCCAGCGACGCUUCCUGUGGGCUCAGGACGAAGCGCUGACUGGUGGAAAGUGCAAAGUGGCAUGGAGCUCGGUCUGCUCACCGGUAGAAAAGGGCGGGCUGGAGAUACCUGAUCUGCAUCGGUUCAGUUCCACCCUCAGUCUAUGCUGGCUUUGGCUAUCCUGGCAGUAGCCGGCGAGACCCUGGCCGGCUUUCCUGUUGCCAUGCGACAAGAUGGACAGAGAGAUGUUUGAACGAGCCACGACGGUCCGGAUCGGCGAUGGCCAGCAAGAAAUAUUCUGGACAAGCUCCUGGCUGGAUGACACCCCGCUAUGCUCAUCCUUCCCGGACCUCUUCAAGCACUCCAGGCGCAAGAACCGCAUGGUGGCUGCAGCACUCACCAACGAACAGUGGAUCAGAGAUCUGCGCCACGGUAACACAGCUUCCAUCAUCACUGAAUACUUGCACCUUUGGCGGCGGCUCCAGCUCUCGGGAAUCACCCUCAAAAACCAAGUGGUCGAUCAGAUCGUGUGGAGAGCAGGUGGUGGUGCCUGUUACUCUGCUCGAGCUGCAUACAUAAUGCAUUUCAAGGACAUGCCAAGCACAAGCCACAGCAAGGUCGCCUGGAAAUGUUGGGCGCCGGGGACUGUCAAGAUGUCCGCGUGGCUACUACACAAGAACAGGCUUUGGUGCAAUGACAGACUGCAGAGGCUGGGCUGGCCAAACGGGUAUUUCUGUAGCCUCUGUGCCAGAAGCCUGGAAUCUACGUCACACAUCAUGUGCGAAUGCCCCUUCUCCUGGAAGAUUUGGAUGGAAGCCUCAACCUGGAACGGUUGUGAGGCCAUGAGACAUGUCAAGCCGCCGCACCACACCUCUCUGCAGCACAGCCAGGAGAUGAUUAGACGCACACCAAUAGGAGCGAGAAGAGGUUUCAGAACCAUGCUGCUUCUGAUUGCCUGGCAUAUGUGGAAGGAGAGGAACACCUGUGUUUUCAGAGCCAAAAUGACACGGCUAGACGAUGUCCUUCAGGCUGUCAAGCUGGAUCUUGCAUAA